UACAGAGGUGGCAAGCGUUGUUCGGAAUUACUGGGCGUAAAGGGCGCGUAGGCGGUCUUGUAAGUCUUGUGUGAAAUCCCUCGGCUUAACUGAGGAACUGCACGGGAUACUGCGAGACUUGAGAUCGGGAGAGGGAAGCGGAAUUCCGGGUGUAGCGGUGAAAUGCGUAGAUAUCAGGAGGAACACCGGUGGCGAAGGCGGAUCUCUGGGCCUUGCCUGACGCUGAGGCGCGAAAGCUAGGGGAGCGAACAGG
Molecule: ribosomal RNA, 253 nt
Filed under: uncultured bacterium
Lineage: Bacteria
Description: partial 16S ribosomal RNA
Rfam family: Bacterial small subunit ribosomal RNA
Source: RNAcentral